UAGAAAUUCCAGCAGUGUCCCAAUGUGAACACUUCAUGAAUUUGCACAUUUACCUAGACUGCUAUUUAAAUGAUAUUCCCUCCCCAUGCACAUGCCGAGAGGAAGAAGGGGAGGCAAUCCAAGUACUCCCUAAACUGACAGAGAUGUGGAGGGAGUGAUGGAGGAUAAGACAGUCUAAGGUAAGCUUGAAGCUGCAUCUUAUAAGGUAGACUGUGGAGUGUUGACCUUGAAAACAUCUUUCCUCUGACUGGGCAGUCUUCUCAUGACAAUUCUUCUCUCUUCUUCUGUCUUUGUCCCUUCUGUGUGCCCCCCUCUCCCAACACCUUUCCCUGUUUGUCCCCCACCUGUGUCUGUCUGCCCCUCCCUGUCUGGCUCAUGCUGAGGGCAGGCACCUCUGUCAGCCUCCUCGCAGUGGUAGUUAUUGUGUGUGGCGUGGCCCUGGUGGCAGUUUUUCUCUUUCUCUUUUGGAAGCUGUGCUGGAUGCCCUGGAGGACCAAGGAGGCCUCCAGCCCCUCUUCUGCUAACCCUCCUCCAGAAGCCCUCCAGAACCUCAGCUCCAGAGGCAACAUGGCUGACAAGCUGAAGGACCCCAGUACCCUGGGCUUCCUAGAGACGGCUGUGAAGAUCAGUCAUACAUCUCCAGAUAUCCCAGCUGAGGUGCAGAUGUCUGUCAAGGAGCACAUCAUGCGUCACACACGGCUUCAGCGACAGACGACAGAGCCGGCGUCAUCUACCAGGCACUCGUCUUUCAAGCGCCACCUGCCCCGGCAGAUGCAUGUCUCCAGUGUGGACUAUGGGAAUGAGCUGCCCCCGGCGGCGGAGCAGCCCACCAGCAUCGGCCGCAUCAAGCCUGAGCUCUACAAGCAGAAGUCGGUGGACGGGGAUGAUGCCAAAUCCGAGGCUGCCAAAAGCUGCGGGAAGAUCAACUUCAGCCUCCGCUACGACUACGAAAAUGAGACCCUGAUCGUACGCAUUCUGAAGGCCUUUGACCUCCCCGCCAAGGACUUCUGCGGCAGCUCUGACCCUUAUGUCAAGAUCUACCUCCUGCCCGACCGCAAGUGCAAGCUGCAGACCCGGGUGCACCGCAAGACCCUGAACCCCACCUUUGAUGAGAACUUCCACUUCCCUGUGCCCUAUGAAGAGCUGGCGGACCGCAAGCUGCAUCUCAGCGUCUUCGACUUCGACCGCUUCUCCCGCCACGACAUGAUUGGCGAGGUCAUUCUGGACAACCUCUUUGAGGCUUCUGACCUGUCCAGGGAGACUUCCAUCUGGAAGGACAUCCAGUACGCCACAAGUGAAAGCGUGGAUUUGGGAGAAAUCAUGUUCUCCCUCUGCUAUCUGCCCACAGCAGGCAGGCUCACCCUCACCGUGAUCAAAUGCCGGAACCUCAAGGCCAUGGACAUCACAGGCUAUUCAGAUCCCUAUGUCAAAGUGUCCCUGCUUUGUGAUGGGCGGAGACUGAAGAAGAAGAAAACCACCAUCAAGAAGAACACUCUCAAUCCUGUCUACAAUGAGGCCAUUAUCUUUGACAUUCCUCCAGAGAACAUGGACCAAGUCAGCCUGCUCAUCUCAGUGAUGGAUUAUGACCGAGUGGGCCACAAUGAGAUCAUCGGCAUUUGCCGUGUGGGGAUCAAUGCUGAAGGCCUGGGCAGGGACCACUGGAACGAGAUGCUGGCUUACCCGCGGAAGCCCAUCGCCCAUUGGCACUCCUUGGUGGAGGUAAAGAAAUCCUUCAAAGAGGGAACCCCUCGGUUGUGAUUUCAUUCACGUGGAUGCUGCAAGCAGUGAGACUGCCACCCGGAGUUAGGAUGGCAGGGCCGAGCUGCUAGCUUCGACAGUGAGAGCUCGUGCCCAUCUCCAAAGCCACCUCCAACACCCUGAGCCACAUGGCCAAGCGGCACAGAUGGGACUCAGCAGCAUUCAUUUUGCACUUGUUCCACCGUCUCAACACAGUGUUGUGUGGCAGCGGUGGCAGCACGUCUCUCACUCCGGAGUCCACACCACUCCCAUGUAGGUCAAGACCGAGACACUUGUCGUGUGGUCAGAUUUGUCU
Molecule: RNA transcript, 2053 nt
Organism: Erinaceus europaeus (western European hedgehog)
Lineage: Eukaryota; Metazoa; Chordata; Mammalia; Eulipotyphla; Erinaceidae
Gene: SYT6
Gene name: synaptotagmin 6
Exons: 7
Source: RefSeq, a predicted model, not a curated record